UCAAGUGAAUAAGUGCAUGUGGUGGAUGCCUUGGCGAUUACAGGCGAUGAAGGACGUUGUAGCCUGCGAUAAGCCGCGGGGAGCUGGCAAACAAGCUUUGAUCCGCGGAUGUCCGAAUGGGGAAACCCACCCGCAAGGGUAUCGCUGACUGAAUCCAUAGGUCAGCGAGGCGAACGUGGCGAACUGAAACAUCUAAGUAGCCACAGGAAAAGAAAUCAACCGAGAUUCCGAAAGUAGUGGCGAGCGAAAUCGGAGCAGCCUGUGCGUGAUAGUCGAUUGGCUAGUGGAACGGUAUGGAAAGGCCGGCCAUAGAGGGUGAUAGCCCCUUACACGAAAGCGAAUCGGUGGUACUGAGCGUACGACAAGUAGGGCGGGACACGUGUAAUCCUGUCUGAAGAUGGGGGGACCAUCCUCCAAGGCUAAAUACUCGUAAUCGACCGAUAGUGAACAAGUACUGUGAAGGAAAGGCGAAAAGAACCCCGGGAGGGGAGUGAAAUAGAUCCUGAAACCGCAUGCAUACAAACAGUCGGAGCCUCGCAAGGGGUGACGGCGUACCUUUUGUAUAAUGGGUCAGCGACUUACGUUCAGUGGCAAGCUUAACCAGAUAGGGGAGGCGCAGGGAAACCGAGUCCGAAUAGGGCGCCAUAGUCGCUGGGCGUAGACCCGAAACCAGGUGAUCUAUCCAUGGUCAGGAUGAAGGUUGGGUAACACCAGCUGGAGGUCCGAACCGACUAAUGUUGCAAAAUUAGCGGAUGAACUGUGGAUAGGGGUGAAAGGCUAAUCAAACCUGGAAAUAGCUGGUUCUCCCCGAAAACUAUUUAGGUAGUGCGUCAUGUAUUGCUCCAGGGGGUAGAGCACUGUAAUGGUUGUGGGGGCCAUCGCGGCUUACCACGCCAUAGCAAACUCCGAAUACCUGGAAGUAUGAGCAUGGCAGACAGUCGCCGGGUGCUAACGUCCGGCGGCAAGAGGGAAACAACCCAGACCUACAGCUAAGGUCCCAAAGUGUGGCUAAGUGGGAAACGAAGUGGGAAGGCUAAAACAGUCAGGAUGUUGGCUUAGAAGCAGCCAUCAUUUAAAGAAAGCGUAAUAGCUCACUGAUCGAGUCGUCCUGCGCGGAAGAUGUAACGGGGCUAAGCCAUGCACCGAAGCUUAGGCUGCACUCUCUGAGUGCGGGGUAGGGGAGCGUUCUGUAAGCCUGUGAAGGUGUCUCGUAAGGGAUGCUGGAGGUAUCAGAAGUGCGAAUGCUGACAUGAGUAGCGUUAAAGCGGGUGAAAAGCCCGCUCGCCGUAAGCGCAAGGUUUCCUACGCAACGUUCAUCGGCGUAGGGUGAGUCGGCCCCUAAGGUGAGGGCGAAAGCCAUAGCUGAUGGGAAGCUGGUUAAUAUUCCAGCACCGAUUUCUAGUGCGAUGGGGGGACGGAUCGUGGAAGGUUGUCCGGGUGUUGGAAGUCCCGGUUCCUGACCUGUAGGUGUCUGGUAGGUAAAUCCGCCAGGCGUAUGCCGAGGGGUUGGGACGAGCGAGCUUGCUCGCGAAGCAACUGGAAGUGGUUCCAAGAAAAGCCUCUAAGCUUCAGCUAGAAACGACCGUACCGCAAACCAACACUGGUGCGCGAGAUGAGUAUUCUCAGGCGCUUGAGAGAACUCGGGAGAAGGAACUCGGCAAAUUGACACCGUAACUUCGGAAGAAGGUGUGCCUUGGUAGCUUGAGUGUGAACAACACAAGGGCGAAGAGGUUGCAAAGAAUAGGUGGCUGCGACUGUUUAUUAAAAACACAGCACUCUGCAAACACGAAAGUGGACGUAUAGGGUGUGACGCCUGCCCGGUGCCGGAAGGUUAAGUGAUGGGGUGCAAGCUCUUGAUCGAAGCCCCGGUAAACGGCGGCCGUAACUAUAACGGUCCUAAGGUAGCGAAAUUCCUUGUCGGGU
This 1923-nucleotide ribosomal RNA is filed under the name human oral metagenome. RNAcentral describes it as "bacterial LSU rRNA". It matches the Rfam family "Bacterial large subunit ribosomal RNA", at positions 3 to 1977 of the family's 2925-position model. The record is from RNAcentral.